GAUGAACGCUGGCGGCGUGCCUAAUACAUGCAAGUCGAGCGAACGGACGAGAAGCUUGCUUCUCUGAUGUUAGCGGCGGACGGGUGAGUAACACGUGGAUAACCUACCUAUAAGACUGGGAUAACUUCGGGAAACCGGAGCUAAUACCGGAUAAUAUUUUGAACCGCAUGGUUCAAAAGUAAAAGACGGUCUUGCUGUCACUUAUAGAUGGAUCCGCGCUGCAUUAGCUAGUUGGUAAGGUAACGGCUUACCAAGGCAACGAUGCAUAGCCGACCUGAGAGGGUGAUCGGCCACACUGGAACUGAGACACGGUCCAGACUCCUACGGGAGGCAGCAGUAGGGAAUCUUCCGCAAUGGGCGAAAGCCUGACGGAGCAACGCCGCGUGAGUGAUGAAGGUCUUCGGAUCGUAAAACUCUGUUAUUAGGGAAGAACAUAUGCGUAAGUAACUGUGCACAUCUUGACGGUACCUAAUCAGAAAGCCACGGCUAACUACGUGC
This 498-nucleotide ribosomal RNA is filed under the name uncultured bacterium. RNAcentral's name for it is "partial 16S ribosomal RNA". It matches the Rfam family "Bacterial small subunit ribosomal RNA", at positions 28 to 508 of the family's 1533-position model. The record is from RNAcentral.